Long non-coding RNA from Oxyura jamaicensis (ruddy duck), 960 nucleotides. RefSeq lists it as uncharacterized. The transcript is spliced from 7 exons. The record is from RefSeq and is a predicted model, not a curated record. Lineage: Eukaryota; Metazoa; Chordata; Aves; Anseriformes; Anatidae.
CCUUCCUUGAGCAAGUUACUCCCACCUGCACAUCAGCUUGUUUUGAUAUCCAGUCAGAGAAGAUACUAGUUGGCUUGAGCUUCGCUAUGAAGACAUAAGAUAGCUAUUAAAUUUCUAUUUCUACAAAAUAUUGAGGACAAAAAUAUACCACUGAGGACUUCAGGCAAGGUCAGCAAGCUGCCCGUCUGCAAGGGCUCCCAGCAGAGCAGGAGAUGGCUGACGUGAAAGCCACCGCUCCGAGCUGCGCGGGGGUAGAGAGGACACCUGAAAGUGUUCUAACAGGAAAAAAGAAAGCUGGAAGGACCCAGAGGUUUACGUAAAUUGAAUAUAACCAUAUAAUGUUUGUGUCAUUUACGCAACAGACCGAGGAGCACCAGCUGGAACAGAGGGAAUGAGCGUGCUGCCAACCUCCUUCAGGAUGAACGCUCCUCCGAGUCCUUGUGGAUUCAGUAACUGUAGACAGGCACACCUUCAGAGUACCGAUUUCCAGAUUUUACUGCAUGAAGACACUAAAAUAAAAUCUGCAAGCAUUUGUCUCAAGUCAAAGGAAGUUGCAUAACUAAAAGAAAGGUUUAUUUUCUCUCUCAAAUUUUGGAGUACAGUUCUCAAGCCUGAAUUUUUAAGAAGCUCUUCUGAUCAGAUAUUAUUCAGGCUGCCUCCCUCAUUGACAUCAGCGAAGAAGUGAGAGAUGCCACGGGAGAUGCAGAAGAAAGCAGCGAUGUUCUGAUAUGCAUGUGGUCGCCCGGGGCCUGUUUUGCAGAGUCCCAUGGGUCUGAUCUGAAGACUAUUGAAAUCAAUGGAACAAUUCACAGUGCUUUCAGAGAAUACUGGAAAUGCAUUAAAAGCAUGUUGGGGCACAUUCAAGUCGAAGAUAUUUCCUGCAAAGUAAAGUUCAGCAAAAUAUCUGUGAAUGACAGAAGCCACUGUCAAAAAAUUUUACUUCAGAAAUUAAAUGUAAAG